AGUGAACGCUGGCGGUAGGCCUAACACAUGCAAGUCGAACGGCAGCACAGUAAGAGCUUGCCCUUACGGGUGGCGAGUGGCGGACGGGUGAGGAAUACAUCGGAAUCUACUUUUUCGUGGGGGAUAACGUAGGGAAACUUACGCUAAUACCGCAUACGACCUACGGGUGAAAGCAGGGGAUCUUCGGACCUUGCGCGAUUCAAUGAGCCGAUGUCGGAUUAGCUAGUUGGCGGGGUAAAGGCCCACCAAGGCGACGAUCCGUAGCUGGUCUGAGAGGAUGAUCAGCCACACUGGAACUGAGACACGGUCCAGACUCCUACGGGAGGCAGCAGUGGGGAAUAUUGGACAAUGGGCGCAAGCCUGAUCCAGCCAUACCGCGUGAGUGAAGAAGGCCUUCGGGUUGUAAAGCCCUUUUGUUGGGAAAGAAAAGCAGCAGGUUAAUACCCCGCUGUUCUGACGGUACCCAAAGAAUAAGCACCGGCUAACUUCGUG
Molecule: ribosomal RNA, 492 nt
Filed under: uncultured bacterium
Lineage: Bacteria
Description: partial 16S ribosomal RNA
Rfam family: Bacterial small subunit ribosomal RNA
Source: RNAcentral